GUCAAAACCCGCUAAAACACCGGUUCUCGUUUGAUCACCGAAGUUAAGCAGUCUUGAGCCCUGUCAGUAUUUAGAUGGGGGCCCGUUUGGGAACAUCGGAUACUGUAA
Acanthosepion pharaonis is the source of this 108-nucleotide non-coding RNA. The record is from the annotation of a GenBank genome assembly. Lineage: Eukaryota; Metazoa; Mollusca; Cephalopoda; Sepiida; Sepiidae.